RNAcentral lists this ribosomal RNA (505 nucleotides) under uncultured bacterium. Its description in RNAcentral is "partial 16S ribosomal RNA". It matches the Rfam family "Bacterial small subunit ribosomal RNA", at positions 28 to 507 of the family's 1533-position model. The record is from RNAcentral.
GACGAACGCUGGCGGCGUGCCUAAUACAUGCAAGUAGAACGCACAGUUUAUACCGUAGCUUGCUACACCAUAGACUGUGAGUUGCGAACGGGUGAGUAACGCGUAGGUAACCUGCCUGGUAGCGGGGGAUAACUAUUGGAAACGAUAGCUAAUACCGCAUAAUAUUGAUUAUUGCAUGAUAAUUGAUUGAAAGAUGCUAUUGCAUCACUACCAGAUGGACCUGCGUUGUAUUAGCUAGUAGGUGAGGUAACGGCUCACCUAGGCGACGAUACAUAGCCGACCUGAGGGGGUGAUCGGCCACACUGGGACUGAGACACGGCCCAGACUCCUACGGGAGGCAGCAGUAGGGAAUCUUCGGCAAUGGACGAAAGUCUGACCGAGCAACGCCGCGUGAGUGAAGAAGGUUUUCGGAUCGUAAAGCUCUGUUGUAAGAGAAGAACGGGUGUGAGAGUGGAAAGUUCACACUGUGACGGUAUCUUACCAGAAAGGGACGGCUAACUACGUG